This is a long non-coding RNA of Podarcis raffonei (Aeolian wall lizard), 540 nucleotides long. RefSeq lists it as uncharacterized. Lineage: Eukaryota; Metazoa; Chordata; Lepidosauria; Squamata; Lacertidae. The transcript is spliced from 2 exons. The record is from RefSeq and is a predicted model, not a curated record.
CCCCCCCCCCAAUCAUUCAGUUUGUACAAACUUCACUCACACUCACACACUACAUACGCUGCGCUUCUGUUAUAAAUUCAUAGAAAAUCAACCAUACAUCGGAUCUGCACUGUUCCACUUUUAUUUUACUCCGUGAAGGAAGGACUACAAAAUGGGGAAGGUUUGAUACAGGCCAGCCAUAAUCCCUUGAGCAUCCCAGCACAUCCACAGGAGCCCUGCCCCGUUGCUCUGCCAACCCUGAUGGUCCUAGACAGAAGACCAUCAAGAUCACAAAGAACUUGCAUAUGGGAGUGGAUUCAGCACUGACUGGAACAAAGGACAAUGAUCAGCUCUUUCCUCUGGGGGCAGGAAACUGCCAACUCCCCUCUGUCACCUGGAAAGUACUCAAGGGGGAACCAGCCAGGUGACAGGACACUCAGGUUACCUCCACAACUCCUCCCUCAACCCCUCCUUUUUUGUGAUGUAGUUGUGAUGUAGUCUUAGGGGUGUAGUUUGGGGGAUUAGUAACUAAUAAAAGUUGGGGUCUUCUUUUGUUCUGGA